This 497-nucleotide ribosomal RNA is filed under the name uncultured bacterium. RNAcentral describes it as "partial 16S ribosomal RNA". It matches the Rfam family "Bacterial small subunit ribosomal RNA", at positions 28 to 507 of the family's 1533-position model. The record is from RNAcentral.
GAUGAACGCUGGCGGCGUGCCUAAUACAUGAAAGUCGAGCGAACAGACGAGGAGCUUGCUCCUCUGACGUUAGCGGCGGACGGGUGAGUAACACGUGGAUAACCUACCUAUAAGACUGGGAUAACUUCGGGAAACCGGAGCUAAUACCGGAUAAUAUAUUGAACCGCAUGGUUCAAUAGUGAAAGACGGUUUUGCUGUCACUUAUAGAUGGAUCCGCGCCGCAUUAGCUAGUUGGUAAGGUAAAGGCUUACCAAGGCAACGAUGCGUAGCCGACCUGAGAGGGUGAUCGGCCACACUGGAACUGAGACACGGUCCAGACUCCUACGGGAGGCAGCAGUCGGGAAUCUUCCGCAAUGGGCGAAAGCCUGACGGAGCAACGCCGCGUGAGUGAUGAAGGUCUUCGGAUCGUAAAACUCUGUUAUUAGGGAAGAACAAAUGUGUAAGUAACUAUGCACGUCUUGACGGUACCUAAUCAGAAAGCCACGGCUAACUACGUG